This 658-nucleotide long non-coding RNA is filed under the name Malus domestica (apple). Its description in RNAcentral is "long non-coding RNA (MDOM_LNC006604)". The record is from RNAcentral. Lineage: Eukaryota; Viridiplantae; Streptophyta; Magnoliopsida; Rosales; Rosaceae.
GGUCAUUGUAUUGUCGGAGGGACACUGACAAUGCUUAGACCGGUACAUACUGUGUCCGCUUCAAAUGGAAGAAUGGAAAGUCUCAUCCCAUUUGUGUAAUGACACUAAGACAAGUAUGUAGGUGCUCAUUAAGGGAAUGAGUUCACUGAACACAAUCGAACGAGAAUACUUGCAUGGAGGUCUACUCACAUGCCAAGCAAGUAACUUUAAUGGUUGGAAUAAUAUAAGUAGUCCUUUGACCUGAGGCAUCAUCAUUGUCUUGUGGCUAAGUACUUAAUCUUUGAUUAUGUCAAAGUCACCCCAUUCGCGGAUGUCCACGGCAUAAUUGGGGUUAAGCCACUUAGUCAUGAAGGCAAGUGAAUGCGCAACAAGGAAUCUCUAAUCCUUGAUUAGAGAGGAAGAAUACUCUAAGAUAUGAUUCGGGAAUCUUCGGUCGAAGUAUCGAGCGUAAUAAAGGAAAGCGUUCCUAUACGACUCAAUUGAAUCAUAUAAGAAGGAAUAAUCACAUUAGGGGUUUGACAUAAUAUAUCCAUACCCUAGUAAUGUGAUUGAGAGUAUUGUUUUAGAGAAGGAUCGAAUUACAUUGUAAUUCCAACUAAAUAGGUUCUCCGAACAACUUCUACAUUAGCUUGGGUAGCUAUGACAUAUGGUUAGAUGU